This 341-nucleotide unclassified non-coding RNA is filed under the name fungal sp. Its description in RNAcentral is "partial internal transcribed spacer region". Lineage: Eukaryota; Fungi. The record is from RNAcentral.
AAGUCGUAACAAAGUUUCCUUGUAACCCGCGUAGUUCGCAAUCUCUGAUAAAUCAUAGCCCGGAAAGUUGUAGUAAUUCAGAGGCUACGUGCGAAUAUUGGAACAGUUACAAUCGAGCGGUAGUUCUAUAGGCAAUGUUUCCCCAAGCAGUCAGUGUCGGAAAGUGUCAUUGAUUGUGCAAGGAUAGCGCUUCUACGAUUCCUGUAGACCGUACACUCGGGCAGGAGCUUUGCCAAAGGGUCCCCAUGCCCCCUAAUAACCCCACAGUUUAAUGUGAAGCUCAAUGUAAUACAUUGGGUAAAAAAACCGAACAACUGUUAACAAUGGAUAUCUUGGUUCUC